RNAcentral lists this ribosomal RNA (377 nucleotides) under uncultured bacterium. RNAcentral's name for it is "bacterial SSU rRNA". It matches the Rfam family "Bacterial small subunit ribosomal RNA", at positions 29 to 433 of the family's 1533-position model. The record is from RNAcentral.
AGCGAACGCUGGCGGCAGGCCUAAAACAUGCAAGUCGAACGCCGUAGCAAUACGGAGUGGCAGACGGGUGAGUAACACGUGGGAACAUACCCUUUGGUUCGGAACAACACAGGGAAACUUGUGCUAAUACCGGAUAAGCCCUUACGGGGAAAGACUUAUCGCCGAAGGAUUGGCCCGCGUCUGAUUAGCUAGUUGGUGGGGUAACGGCCCACCAAGGCUACGAUCAGUAGCUGGUCUGAGAGGAUGAUCAGCCACACUGGGACUGAGACACGGCCCAGACUCCUACGGGAGGCAGCAGUUAGGAAUCUUGGACAAUGGGCGCAAGCCUGAUCCAGCCAUGCCGCGUGAGUGAUGAAGGCCUUAGGGUUGUAAAGCUC